AGAAUGAUAAGAGGGAUAAGAGAAAGUAGGCAUUUUGGGUUAUCUAUACAUGUUUAAAUAGAAGGGUGGUAAAUAGGAAUGUAAUUGUUUUGGUUAAUGUUUAGAUUAAAUUGGUUAAAUACAACAGUGAUGACGAGUGUUUAGAUUAAAUUGGUAGAUACAGCAGUGAUAUUGUGUUUAUCUGUGAAUCAGGAGUGUGCUGGAUGUGAAGAGAGGUGUGUAGGUAUUUAUCCAAACGCCAUAGGAAAAAAUAUGGUUAAGACACCACAGUCAAAUGGUACUUGUGAUGAUUGGCACAGUUAUUUUGUGUUCGUCAUUGCCUGUGUUUUCAUUCAAGAACUUUCAAG
Molecule: non-coding RNA, 347 nt
Organism: Pelobates cultripes (western spadefoot toad)
Lineage: Eukaryota; Metazoa; Chordata; Amphibia; Anura; Pelobatidae
Source: the annotation of a GenBank genome assembly